UACGUAGGUGGCGAGCGUUGUCCGGAUUUACUGGGCGUAAAGGGAGCGUAGGCGGGCUUUUAAGUGAGAUGUGAAAUACUCGGGCUCAACUUGAGUGCUGCAUUUCAAACUGGAAGUCUAGAGUGCAGGAGAGGAGAAUGGAAUUCCUAGUGUAGCGGUGAAAUGCGUAGAGAUUAGGAAGAACACCAGUGGCGAAGGCGAUUCUCUGGACUGUAACUGACGCCGAGGCUCGAAAGCGUGGGGAGCAAACAGG
Molecule: ribosomal RNA, 253 nt
Filed under: uncultured bacterium
Lineage: Bacteria
Description: partial 16S ribosomal RNA
Rfam family: Bacterial small subunit ribosomal RNA
Source: RNAcentral